RNAcentral lists this long non-coding RNA (803 nucleotides) under Cricetulus griseus (Chinese hamster). RNAcentral describes it as "lncRNA (ENSCGRG00015036744.1)". Lineage: Eukaryota; Metazoa; Chordata; Mammalia; Rodentia; Cricetidae. The record is from RNAcentral.
GCUGGGCCUGGUAAAGAGACUCAGAAAGGAAGAAUUUCACAUAACGUGUGGGAAAUGCAUUUCAAACUGAAGAUCAAAGGUAACAUGCUAAAAUGUCUCGGUGAAUAGAAGCCAAAGUACAUCAGCCUUACUUCCUGUCGACAGCCAGGGAUGGAAGACAAUUGCACUUCAUCUGGAGAGAUGCACACCUGACUGGAAUAAACAUUCCUUUUCCCCGUCACGCUGUUCACUUUGGUGGAGAACAAGAGAGUUGCAUCACAAUGAACAGAUGUGAGAGACUGUAGUAGACCCGUGAAGUUAAGGCUCUGCAACAAGCGCGCAGCUUUUGAGCAACAGCACCAGGAUCCAUUUAUCUUCAUUUCUUAUUUGCAAAGCCUCACCGAACACAUCCGGGGUUCUGUUGGAGAAAAGAGACUUCCUGAGACAUGAUGUAAUUCUUGCAAAGGGGAAACACAUGCUGAGUUCUGCAGCACAAAACAAUAUUGAGGUGCUGAUAGCUGGGGCUGACAGUCACAUGACAGGAUACAGGCCACAACCAGGCAGCACCCGGGAGUCCUUGGAGCAUAGUAUUGGGGACGGCACAGGGGCAGGAGCAAAAGUUUUCGAUGCUUUUCAAGUCCACGGACUCCGUUACAUUUAUAAAAACGUAGUGGAAAAGAAACCUUUCUGUUUUAACUGUAACAAUUUUCUUCCCCAUAAUACAUGUCCCACAUGCUCCCUUUCUACUCCAGAAGCAGAAGAGACUUGUGAGAUCAGUGGAAAGAAAAAGGUUCCACAAAUCUACCUUUUAAAAUUCAGCAAAA